RNAcentral lists this ribosomal RNA (588 nucleotides) under Triticum aestivum (bread wheat). Its description in RNAcentral is "partial small subunit ribosomal RNA". Lineage: Eukaryota; Viridiplantae; Streptophyta; Magnoliopsida; Poales; Poaceae. The record is from RNAcentral.
AUGAAAAGAAUCCGGAGAAGGGAAGGAAACAGAGAGAGGAAGCAUAAUAUUGGGAUGUUGUCCACACCAAACAUAACUUCAAGAGGGCUUCUCACUGUGUCUGUUCAUUGCCAGAGUCUUUCUGCUCUUCACAUUAUUGACUGCAACAAAGUAGGUAGCAAAGAUUGGUUGGAGUACCUUGGCUCUGUAGGAUCAUUGGAGGAGCUUGUAGUAAAGAAUUGCGAGGGCAUCAGCCAGGAUGACCUCCUGAAGUUUGGCUCGGGAUGGAUAAAUCUACAGAAGUUUGUGUUUGAAAUCAAGAAAAUAUUCUUUCGUAAUAGGUGGGCUGGUCCUAAUGGGGGCUAUGAUCCCUCAUACGACCCUCAUAGCCUGAAUAUGUAUGAUUCCAGUUGUGAGAACAUGAAGGACUUGAAGUUGGGAUCUAUUGAAAUUGCGACAGGAAAAGGACUUCGUUUUCUCCUUGGGAGGUGCAAAGCACUGGAGAAGCUUUGCUUGGAGUAUGUUUGGGGUCUAAAUGACAACGAUAUGAUUGCAUUAUCCCAGAGCUGCAACAACCUUAAAAGCAUCUCACUUUCGCUGGAUCCUUAG